This 236-nucleotide ribosomal RNA is filed under the name uncultured bacterium. Its description in RNAcentral is "partial 16S ribosomal RNA". It matches the Rfam family "Bacterial small subunit ribosomal RNA", at positions 15 to 233 of the family's 1533-position model. The record is from RNAcentral.
GAUCCUGGCUCAGGAUGAACGCUGGCGGCGUGCCUAACACAUGCAAGUCGAGCGAAGCAAUUUAAGUGAAGUUUUCGGAUGGAUCUUAAAUUGACUGAGCGGCGGACGGGUGAGUAACGCGUGGAUAACCUGCCUCACACAGGGGGAUAACAGUUAGAAAUGACUGCUAAUACCGCAUAAGCGCACAGUACCGCAUGGUACAGUGUGAAAAACUCCGGUGGUGUGAGAUGGAUCCG